Small nuclear RNA from Alosa alosa (allis shad), 186 nucleotides. RefSeq annotates it as U2 spliceosomal RNA. The transcript has a single exon. The record is from RefSeq and is a predicted model, not a curated record. Lineage: Eukaryota; Metazoa; Chordata; Actinopteri; Clupeiformes; Clupeidae.
AUCGCCGGGCCUUUGGCUAAGAUCAUGUAGUAUCUGUUCUUAUCAGUUUAAUAUUCGAUACGCCCUCUACCCGAGACCAUAUAUUAAUCUGAUUUUUGAACAGGGAGACGGAAGAGGGGCUUGCUCCGUCCGGGCUUCCACGCAUCGUGACCCGGUAUGUGCAGCGAUUCGAACGGUGCAUCCCUU